GUGCCAGCAGCCGCGGUAAUACGGAGGGGGCUAGCGUUGUUCGGAAUUACUGGGCGUAAAGCGCACGUAGGCGGACCGGAAAGUCAGAGGUGAAAUCCCAGGGCUCAACCUUGGAACUGCCUUUGAAACUCCUGGUCUUGAGGUCGAGAGAGGUGAGUGGAAUUCCGAGUGUAGAGGUGAAAUUCGUAGAUAUUCGGAGGAACACCAGUGGCGAAGGCGGCUCACUGGCUCGAUACUGACGCUGAGGUGCGAAAGCGUGGGGAGCAAACAGGAUUAGAUACCCCCGUAGUCC
RNAcentral lists this ribosomal RNA (292 nucleotides) under uncultured bacterium. Its description in RNAcentral is "partial 16S ribosomal RNA". It matches the Rfam family "Bacterial small subunit ribosomal RNA", at positions 505 to 796 of the family's 1533-position model. The record is from RNAcentral.